UGGGGAAUCUUCCGCAAUGGACGAAAGUCUGACGGAGCAACGCCGCGUGACUGAUGACGGCCUUCGGGUUGUAAAGCUCUGUUAAUCGGGACGAAUGGUUCUUGUGCAAAUAGUGCGAGGAUUUGACGGUACCGGAAUAGAAAGCCACGGCUAACUACGUGCCAGCAGCCGCGGUAAUACGUAGGUGGCAAGCGUUGUCCGGAAUUAUUGGGCGUAAAGCGCGCGCAGGCGGAUUGGUCAGUCUGUCUUAAAAGUUCGGGGCUUAACCCCGUGAUGUGAUGGAAACUGCCAAUCUCGAGUAUCGGAGAGGAAAGUGGAAUUCCUAGUGUAGCGGUGAAAUGCGUAGAUAUUAGGAAGAGCACCAGUGGCGAAGGCGACUUUCUGGACGAGAACUGACGCUGAGGCGCGAAAGCCAGGGGAGCGAACGGG
RNAcentral lists this ribosomal RNA (429 nucleotides) under bacterium. RNAcentral's name for it is "partial 16S ribosomal RNA". It matches the Rfam family "Bacterial small subunit ribosomal RNA", at positions 355 to 776 of the family's 1533-position model. The record is from RNAcentral.